This 936-nucleotide long non-coding RNA is filed under the name Panax ginseng (ginseng). RNAcentral describes it as "long non-coding RNA (PGIN_LNC017668)". The record is from RNAcentral. Lineage: Eukaryota; Viridiplantae; Streptophyta; Magnoliopsida; Apiales; Araliaceae.
AAAGAUCGUUCCUUGAUCUACGAUUCAACUAUGGAUUUAUGUUAUUUCUCCGUUCAAUUUGUUAUCGUUCCUGUUCAGAUUUGUUGUAGUAGCCUUUUUUCUAUGGAGUUCGGGUGAAAAUCGCUUUUGGUUCUAUAGAUCUGUUGAGGUAUGCUAUAGAUCCGAUUUAUUUCGAUGAUUUUCUGUUUUGGUUGGCCUUUUUUUCUCUGAAUUUAUGGAUUUACUGUAUCUUCGUUCUUUUCUCUAAUUUCUUUUUAAAAUAUGUAGGCUGUUCUUUUGAUAUGUUGAAUGAGACCUAAGUUGUAGAUGGAUGUAUAAUCUUUUGAUAUGUUGAAGGUAUUUUUAUGAUUUUUUUGGGUUUUGGUUAUGCGUUUAUAUAUUAUAUACAGUUCCUUGACUCUUAUUUAUAUUUGCAGAUCCGUGAAUUAUAUAUCAUCAAUUUCCGUCUGAUGCUGAUGAAGCUAUGACUUUCGUCUUGGUUUACCUUAUUUCGUUGGGAUCUGUGAGUUUCUCAUGAAAGAUUAUCAUGUAUCCAAUUGUUUGAAGAUCGAUGUUCGGCGGUGAAGAUAAUUGAGUGGGUACUUAAAUUGUUAUAUUACUAUUAUGAUUAUGUCAGUACUUCAAUAUUUGUAGCUGUGAGAAAAGAGAGGAGUAAUAUCAGAAAUGUCAUAAUUUGUGCCUAUCAGGCCUUUGCCAUGUCAGGUGAGCUUGCAUGGCAGGUCAAAACAACCUAAUAAAAAAUAUUCUUUGUGUUUUGGAGGGGAGAUGGUACGGGGAUUUGUGCCCGGCUCUCCCUUCUUCCUGCGUCUCUCUUUCAUUUUCUUUCCUUGCAUCGCAACUAAAUCUUCAGAAGUUUACUUCAAUAUCAACAUAUGCGUCUUUGAAUUUUGGAUGGCUUUAGAUAUCUCUAAUAUCUUAAAAGCCAUUCAAGNNNNN